RNAcentral lists this ribosomal RNA (465 nucleotides) under uncultured bacterium. Its description in RNAcentral is "partial 16S ribosomal RNA". It matches the Rfam family "Bacterial small subunit ribosomal RNA", at positions 28 to 507 of the family's 1533-position model. The record is from RNAcentral.
GACGAACGCUGGCGGCGUGCUUAACACAUGCAAGUCGAACGGAAAGGCCCUGCUUGCAGGGUACUCGAGUGGCGAACGGGUGAGUAACACGUGGGUGAUCUGCCCUGCACUUCGGGAUAAGCCUGGGAAACUGGGUCUAAUACCGGAUAGGAGCCAUUUUUAGUGUGAUGGUUGGAAAGUUUUUUCGGUGUAGGAUGAGCUCGCGGCCUAUCAGCUUGUUGGUGGGGUAAUGGCCUGCCAAGGCGGCGACGGGUAGCCGGCCUGAGAGGGUGGACGGCCACAUUGGGACUGAGAUACGGCCCAGACUCCUACGGGAGGCAGCAGUGGGGAAUAUUGCACAAUGGGCGCAAGCCUGAUGCAGCGACGCCGCGUGGGGGAGGACGGCCUUCGGGUUGUAAACUCCUUUCGCUAGGGACGAAGCUUUUUGUGACGGUACCUAGAGAAGAAGCACCGGCUAACUACGUG